CCUACGGGUGGCAGCAGUGGGGAAUAUUGGACAAUGGGGGGGACCCUGAUCCAGCCAUGCCGCGUGUGUGAAGAAGGCCCUCGGGUUGUAAAGCACUUUCAGUGAGGAAGAACGCCUGGUGGUUAAUACCCAUCAGGAAAGACAUCACUCACAGAAGAAGCACCGGCUAACUCCGUGCCAGCAGCCGCGGUAAUACGGAGGGUGCGAGCGUUAAUCGGAAUUACUGGGCGUAAAGCGCGCGUAGGUGGCUUGAUAAGCCGGUUGUGAAAGCCCCGGGCUCAACCUGGGAACGGCAUCCGGAACUGUCAAGCUAGAGUGCAGGAGAGGAAGGUAGAAUUCCCGGUGUAGCGGUGAAAUGCGUAGAGAUCGGGAGGAAUACCAGUGGCGAAGGCGGCCUUCUGGACUGACACUGACACUGAGGUGCGAAAGCGUGGGUAGCAAACAGGAUUAGAUACCCUAGUAGUC
This 465-nucleotide ribosomal RNA is filed under the name Vreelandella stevensii. RNAcentral describes it as "partial 16S ribosomal RNA". It matches the Rfam family "Bacterial small subunit ribosomal RNA", at positions 338 to 795 of the family's 1533-position model. Lineage: Bacteria; Pseudomonadati; Pseudomonadota; Gammaproteobacteria; Oceanospirillales; Halomonadaceae. The record is from RNAcentral.